Non-coding RNA from Rattus norvegicus (Norway rat), 1594 nucleotides. The record is from RefSeq and is a predicted model, not a curated record. Lineage: Eukaryota; Metazoa; Chordata; Mammalia; Rodentia; Muridae.
UUCUUUCACAGUGCCAUCUUGAAAUUCUGUCAUAUCCUGUGUAUAAACAGGUGGUGAUUUCAGACACAUGGCCAAUGAAAAGACACCAGCAGAAGCUACAGCACCAUCAGGAGUAACAGCAAUAGCACCAGCAGCAUUAGCAGUAGCAGAAGGAGGAAGAGGGGAAGAGGAGGAGGAGGAGGAGGAGAAGGAGGAGGAGGAGGAGGAGGAGGAGGAGGAGGAGGCAGAGCAGGAAGAGGAGGCAGAGCAGGAGGAGGAGGAGAAAAAUCUGGAGGAGAAGGAAUAGGAAAAGUGGAAUAGGAGGAGAAGAAGGAGAAGGAGAAGGAGGAGGAGGGGUAGGAGGUAGAGGAAGAGGAGAAGGACUUUGCUUCCCUUUCCUGGGAUAAUUGCUGAAUGACUUCUUUUGGAGACAGAUACUAUGCUGAGCAAUGUUUAUGAAACAAAUUAUCAGAAUAUUAACCAUUCAUAGAAGACAUGUCAAUAUUCCUGAAGAGGAUCACCCCUGGAAGACAGAGUUAGAUGGCAGUGCAAGCUGUGCGGAAAGUCCUUAAUGAGGACGACUUUCUCAAAGCUGAUGAUGUAAUAGUUCUGAAGGAGCAUUUUGUGGGAGUCAGGGUCCCAUCUACCUCUUUCUGGGCACACAGAGCUCCUGGCCUUGCAUCCUGCCUGAGAGGUGACCUGGAUUAUUGGCUUCCCUGGUCCACACAGGGUCCUGGAUUGCUUGGUUGCCCCUCAUUCCUGGUCUACCCUGUGCCCCAUGGUGUUUCCAGCUUCUAUGGGCUGAAUUUAAUCAGUGAUUCACUGGAGCUGGAUCUGAACCCAAACCACAGGGAAGCACUGGGCACUGAGGACAAUAAGAGCAACAGACAACAUCUCCUCCACUGCUUCUGACUCUGCUCCACAAAGCAAGGCAGCUCUCACACAGCAGGCAUCCAACCUAACUCCCAGCAGGGAGAGUGUGAGAUGUCUGCGGAUGAGCCCACAUUACAGUACGAUUCUGUGGGAAGACAUCUGGUAGCUUCUGGUGCAGCUGCAGCAGUCAGGACACAUGGAACUACAUUGGAGGUUGAAGAGGCAGAGAACAACCGCAGAGGUGCCCAGUAUGUCCUCAGCCUGGACAACAAGUGUCUGCUCAAUCAUACAGACAGCCCACGACUCUCUCACCCAGCGAAACUUGAGACUGCACACUGGUGGACCAGCUGGUUCCUCAAGAGGUUAGCUCUCUCAAUGGCAUGAAGUUCAGGUGCUACCUCUUCCUAUACUGGCCUGGUGAAGACAGAACCCUGGAGGACAUUGUGGUCUGGGCAAGAGAUAUACAGCAGCCCUUUCUGUGCCAGCCAGCCUUGAAGGUUGCUUGAGAUCAUUCCAGCAUGACCAGUCUCCAGCCUUUUCCAAGCAAGUCAGUUGCUGGCCCUUACCACUUCUGCCCACCACAUCAGUCGCCUUUCCCUGCCCACUUGUAGGAGAUGGGACUAGCUCUGACUUAAUCAUAGGGCUUUGGAUGGGCUCUAUUUUUCCUGUUUCUGGUUGUAAGCUACUAGGAUUCUCAGGAGCAUAAGUGUAUGAGAGAAACAAGUGUCUUGUUAGCCCUGAA